ACCUGUCUGGCUCAAUUGAUUGAGCAUGUGACUCUUGAUCUCAGGGUUGUGAGUUCAAGCCCCACAUUGGGUG
Molecule: transfer RNA, 73 nt
Filed under: Felis catus (domestic cat)
Lineage: Eukaryota; Metazoa; Chordata; Mammalia; Carnivora; Felidae
Rfam family: tRNA
About the family: Transfer RNA (tRNA) molecules are approximately 80 nucleotides in length. Their secondary structure includes four short double-helical elements and three loops (D, anti-codon, and T loops).
Source: Rfam by way of RNAcentral